UACAAAACCCAAAACUUUUGA
Molecule: non-coding RNA, 21 nt
Filed under: Caenorhabditis elegans
Lineage: Eukaryota; Metazoa; Nematoda; Chromadorea; Rhabditida; Rhabditidae
Source: RNAcentral